Molecule: long non-coding RNA, 635 nt
Filed under: Mus pahari (shrew mouse)
Lineage: Eukaryota; Metazoa; Chordata; Mammalia; Rodentia; Muridae
Description: predicted gene 42610 (MGP_PahariEiJ_G0005825.1)
Source: RNAcentral
ACCCGGCUCAUAUUUACAGAAGGAGAUGAACAACAUAGACAAGGAAGUUAAGAGAAAUCCUGUGUGACAAAAGAGGAAGUAAGAUGGGGAGUGAGCAAAAUCACUACGGGGUGCUCACCAGGAAGACUGAAGAUAGAAGGGAGACUUCAGAAAUCCUCCCUCAGGAGAGUUCUCUUAGCAGCCUCCAGAUGAAGAUGUAGAACUCUCAGCUCCUCCUGUACCAUGACUUCCUGGAUGCUGCCAUGAUCAUCACAUCAUGAUGAUAAUGGACUGAACCUCUGAAACUGUCCUCCACUGGCAAGCCACUUGCAUCUUUUACUAACCUUAGGAUCAUAGAUGGUUCUGGAGUGGGCAAAACUGCAGAGUACCCUCUUGUUUAAAAAGAGGAGGAAUAAUUCACUCUUCUCCCUUUGUGAUGACUCUCUUAGGGGAAAAAAAGAAAGAUCUGCAAACACAAUCCAUCACCAGUAAUUAUGAAGCAUCCUCUUCCAUUCUACAUGAAAGGACAGGAUUCUAAAGUUGAUCAAGGGCAACUACCAAAUGCAAGUGGUCUGAUUACAUAUGGAGAAAGUUCAGAAUCUCUUGCCUAGGGAAUAGUGUCACCCAUAGUGGGCAAUCUUCUCACCUCAAUUAAC